ACACCCCCGCAGCUAGCACACACAUCUUAUCCAUUCUCCACCCCGACUCACGCACAGCAACCCUAGCGAGCGGCGACUGGAGGCGCGGGCGACGCGGCGGGGCCCAAGGCGGCGGGAGGCGGGCGCCGCGACUCAUGGCUGUUCGCUCGCUCGCGCCGCUGGGCGCGACGCGGCGGGCCCAAGGCGGCGGGAGGCGGGCGCCGCGGCCCGCGGCGACUGGAGCUGCGCGGCACGGCAGUGGCCCGCGGCGGAGGGGAGCAGGCUCCCGGCUGUUGGCUCGCGCUGCUGCGGCUGCUGAAGCAUCCAUGGAGUCGCCAACCCCCAAGUCGCCGUACGAAAUUUUGUUAACCAUUCAUGUGACGAUUGCAUCUGUCGAAAGGAGCUUUUCUAAACUGAAGUUUGUUGAAAUCCUACUUGCGUUCGACUAUGACACAAGAAAGACUGAAUGUAUUGGCAACAAUAGCACUUGAAAAUGAUGUCUUGGAGAAGAUUAAUUAUGAAGAUUUGAUCGAGGAUUUCAUAUCAAGAAAUACUAGAAGAACGCUGCUUUUUGGUAGAAAAUGAGGAACUUUCGCACAAAGAAAACACACACAGGGCAGGAACAUGAGUACUCUCGCCCUUCCAUGUUUCUGGUCGAUCGAACUCUUCGGUGACCAGAAAAUGAGAAAAGGGCAGGUCGUCGAUGUACAGACCACAGGCGCUCGGACGCACGGCCGGCAUCAUGGUCGUCAUAGCUCAUAACCCAUGAGGGGGUGACGAAGCAAGAAAGGAAGAACUGCCAGGCGACGAGCCCAACGGCCUUGUACUUCGCCCAGACAAGCACCAUUGGGUCGACGUUGCAGCCAGCGGCUGCGGCCAUGCAUUUGGAAAUUGCAGGAGUUUUUUCUUGAAAAGAAAAUAUAAAAUUUACACCUCUUGCACCACUGAUAAAGAUGUGCCUUGCUGUAAUAAGAUGAUGGGCUCAUGACUUAUCUUUCUUGGACAAAACAAGGAAUCUAGCCAUAACUAUGUACAUAUCUGGAUACUCAUCUUUUUUUUCUCAAGCUAUCAUGUCAAGUGUAGAGGAAAUGAUGAUAUACAGAAUAAGGAGAAAGACAUGCUGACAGUACAUCCGGUUCCAAUUUUCAUCAUACUAUGUGCUAAUAUAUGCUCUCAAUGAUAAUAUGCCACCUUGCGCUAUCUACACACGUAACAUGUUCUUCUUUUGUAUAAUUAUACACUAUAAAAUUAUUGUAUGCUUACCUUUGGUGGAAUUUCAGAGUUGAAAGGACAUGAAGUUUCCACGCGAGGGGAGUUAAUUUUGGUUGUCCUUUGUUUCAUAAAAAAUGUUGGUGUCAUUUAGAACUAUGUUUAUUUGGUGUAACCGGAAUUAAUCACUGGUUAAACAUAUAGAAGGAGUCUCUCUAUUGGAAGGGGAAAACAUAAUAUUAGACACCAUUUAUUUUUUUGCUCGCUGAUGCAUGCAAUGUAUCAUUUGGCCUUGAUUUAAUGUACUGCACUUUUCUUCAUUGUUCUCUGUUCUUUAAUAAGUCAAACUCAUAUAGAACCUGAUAUU
RNA transcript from Triticum aestivum (bread wheat), 1555 nucleotides. RefSeq lists it as uncharacterized. The record is from RefSeq and is a predicted model, not a curated record. NCBI's taxonomy places the organism in Eukaryota, Viridiplantae, Streptophyta, Magnoliopsida, Poales, Poaceae. The transcript is spliced from 4 exons.